UUUCUCCUGUGCCUCUGGCCGCCCUCCCGAUGGAUCUCUGUGGUGACAGGCAGGAAUGAUUUGCUUGGGGACCCAGAGAACUCCAAGCACCUUUCCUGCUGCUUCCUCUACCCCUGUAUUUCGCUUGGCUCUCUAAAUUGACUCAGCUCCUGUCAUUCUGGAGCUAAAAUUCACAAUGCGAGCCUCUGCACGCUGCUCUGUCCGUCUGAGUCUGAGGUGCAAUCUAGUCCUGCCUCCUAUCCGCCAUGAUGAUCUUCCAUUCAGGACAUUCCCAUUCACCUUUUGAUGCAUAUUGGAGUUGUUUCCAGCUUUUGG
This 315-nucleotide long non-coding RNA is filed under the name Homo sapiens (human). RNAcentral describes it as "HSALNT0209194". The record is from RNAcentral. Lineage: Eukaryota; Metazoa; Chordata; Mammalia; Primates; Hominidae.